Small nuclear RNA from Prolemur simus (greater bamboo lemur), 93 nucleotides. The record is from Ensembl. NCBI's taxonomy places the organism in Eukaryota, Metazoa, Chordata, Mammalia, Primates, Lemuridae.
GUGCUCGCCUCAGCAGCACGUACACUAGAACCGGGACGGUACAGAGAAGAUUAACACAGCCCCUGUGCAAGGAUGACACCCAAGUUCAUUUUU